Cryptotermes secundus is the source of this 3685-nucleotide RNA transcript. It is a transcript of the gene named integrator complex subunit 13, with no coding region annotated. The record is from RefSeq and is a predicted model, not a curated record. Lineage: Eukaryota; Metazoa; Arthropoda; Insecta; Blattodea; Kalotermitidae. The transcript is spliced from 14 exons.
AUCUUUAGAGCUAUUUAGUUACUACCCCAAUGUCUGUCAGUGGUGUCUUCGGCUUCAUUGACAAUUCAGCAUAAUUUUGAAAAAUAUAAAUGGAAGUAUAAGGUACCAUGACUUUGUGUGAGAAGAUGUAUCCAUCAAAUCACAAAACAGUGUUUGUUUUGGAUCACACUCCAUACUUUGGCAUAUCAUGUGAAUGUCUCAUUGAAUUUGAUUUUACCAAAUCCCGGGGUCCAGCAUUCAUACCUCUAGCACCUAUUUCGAAGUCCCUUUGGACAUGCAGUGUUGAAGCAGCCAUAGAGUAUUGCCGGAUUGUUUGGGAUUUGUUUCCACAAGGAAAACUGAUUCGGUUUGUCGUAAGUGACACAACAGCACACACCUUAAACACAUGGAGUCCAUCUGAGCAGAAUUUAAGCCAUGUGCUUGCAGAAUUGUCCACAAUGGGCAUUCCUGCAAGAACUCAUCAGCAGGGAGAGUUCUCAGUUAUCCACGGACUCAGAGCAGCAAUAGAAGCAUUGUGUGAGUGUUCUGACAUUCAGCACGAAAAGAGAACUUCACUGACAGAAAAUGCCAGCAAAGUGUUGAACAGAUGUCGUGUGAUUUGCAUAACUUCUGCGCGGGACAAUAACAGCAUGAAGAGUUUAAAGGAGAUAUUCCAGAAUGUCCUCAUCCAGCACAACAAAAUUGCUGCAGGGUCUGAUCACCUAAUUACCGUGCACCACUGUCACCUGGUCAUUAUCAAUGUCUACCCAAAUAAUGUGGAAUCACAAGUGACAAGCCAUCCUCCAAGAGAUCUCUCAGCCAUCUUGACUACAGAAGUCCAUUCAGUUAAGGCUGGAGGUCAGAUUGCAUCAAAAUUAUCAAAUUUGAUCCUGAAUCAUUAUGAUCUUGGCUCUACAACUGUAACUGGAAUCCCAAUGAAAGAGGAACAGAAUGCAAGUUCAUCAGCUAACUAUGAUGUUGAAAUAUUUCAUUCGUCAGCUGCACACACAUCUAUACUGAAAGGUAAUGCUGCUGACUCUGCCUUGAUCAGGACGCAGCGUGAGGGUGCUGAUUAUGAGACAGUGACACUUAAAUGGUGUACCCCUAGGGGCUGCAGUGCGUCUGAGAUGCAGAACUGUAUUGCCAUGCACCGUAUCACUCCUGUGGAUGUUAACAGUCGCCCAUCAUCAUGCCUAAUCAACUUCCUGCUCAAUGGCCGUUCAGUAAUGCUGGAAAUGCCCCGUAAGGCUGGCGGUAAGAUGAUAUCUCACCUCCUGGCAGCCCAUGGAGGGGAGAUAUUUGUUCACACACUGGUCACAGCAAGAAGUGUGCUUGAGGACCCACCAUCCAUCAGUGAAGGCUGCGGUGGCAGAGUUACAGACUACAGAAUUACAGACUUUGGUGCGCUUAUGCAAAACAACAAGUUGGUACCUCUGAAGCGAAAGUUUGAUGAUUCAGACACCGAGACACCACUGAGCAGAAUGAGAUCAAGGUUAGAUCGUCACACAAGAUACUGGCCCAUCACCAUAUCAUCAACUUUCAUAUUCAACUUAAAAAAUUACAUUGACCCUCUGCCAGCGCUUCUAGUGAAGGAGGAAAUGACCGAUGAAGAAGUAGUCCAGUGCAAACAGGUCAUAUACAGUCUCAUUAACUUGGAAACAAAACACGAGCCUCUGCAGAUGCCAAAUAUGGGACAGAGGGGGAAGGGACCCAAGCGGGAGGAGCAGUACCGUAUCAUGUGGAGCGAGCUUGAAACAUUCCUGCGUGCAAAUUGUCGCACAGAUCAGCACAAUCGAGUGCUGAAUUGUCUCCUGGAGUGUCGGAACAAAUCUGACGAUGAGAAGAUUAAACUGGAGAAGAAAGAUGAUAAAGUGGAACUGGACCAGGCACUUCGAGAGUUAGACCAGUUUGGUAAAUUCAGUGAAGCAUCGCCGAGUGAAUAUGUACCCCGGGCCAGCGUCAUUCGAGCAACAACAGACUCUCCUAUGUCACCCCCUCCCAUGUCCAUAACCACGCCUCCGUCUGUUCCUUCCAGAUCCUCUCUACUCCGAUCUGGGCCCAUAGCCGGUGGAAGCAUCUAUUCAGGACCAAGAACCGUUUUGGACAUUUGGAUCAGCCGGACCAGUGCUGAACAACGAUCCCGUGACUUGAGGCAGGAGUUUGCUGGAAGGCUUAAUGGAGAAGCUACAGCAGGAGGUGGCAGCAUUGCCAAAUUAUACCCAAACCUGAAGGAUGGCGAUCGUGGGGGAAGGGAGAUGCAUCUCGAUGGGUAGGCCAGAGCUCACCUGACCUGACCGGAUGUGACCAUACCUGCCUGUUGUUUUGCAAUCUUUCUGUGGCCCACAUACAGUGCAUGACUAUUGACUGCUUUCUGAAUGUGCCCACCAGCCUUCAUAACCAUCCCUAUGAUCUCAAAACAAUGGGAUGGUGCAGAUGUGAUACCACCAGCGUCUGCAUCAAGACUCAGUACUGUAUAAGACUUUUUGUGUGUAUAUUUUUAGAGUAACAUAAAAAUCAUGCAAAACCUUCAGAUUGCUGACUUCAUUAUUGAUAGAACUACUUAAACUUUUGUCUGGUACUCAUGAAUUCGCCAACCGUUAUUACAUGGGCUUUUAUUUAUGAUAUAUGAAGGGCUUUAUGUACUCACAGUCCACUCGUAACAUCAAAAAUGGCAGGAAUCUGUUUAACAUGGGCUGCAUUCUUGAAUUAUAUGCCCUUGGUCUUAUGAGAAAUAAGGGGAUAAGGUUCCUUAUAAACAAGUAUAUUAUGUACAUGGUAUAGAGUAUAAGAAACAGCUUUUUACUUAUAGUUAUUGUAUAUACUGAAAAAACAUGGUGCCAAUCAUCAAUCCAGGUGUGAUUUCUGUAACACUAACCCUGUUGGCUACUUGACUUUGUUCAAUAGUUGUGAUGGAAGAUUCACUGCUAUAAAAAUGCCUUCCAAAGAUACUGUCUCACAACACUAGAUUCUUCUGUUCUGAAGUCAGAAUGUUUCCAGUUCCUUUUGCAGCACACACUGCAUGUACAUGCAGACAUGAAAUAUGUAUGUGUUGGGAGAUCUCUGAGACAAUGGUCACUUCAAAGACCAAGGGAACAGAGUGUAUGCCUCAUUCCAGGAGUCUUUUCAUACUCUCAGCAACAAUAUUUUGUUCUUGUGGGUGACCUCAUGCGGACAGAUGAAUCCAGUUGGCUGGACGAUGCACAGAGCGGUGAAAUGGUCAGUCUUUGGUGUGGCCUUGUACAGAGUAAACCAUCUCACAGCAGCUGUUUACUGCACUUUCAUGUACCAUCAAGAGAAAUGCUGCUGUCUAGAUCAGGAAAGUAGAGGGUGAGAGAUGGAAGAAGAUAUAUUAUUUUAUGAAAUGUGAGGAAGAGGCAGGCAUUAGCAUUGAACUUGUCACUGCCUCUGCCUCACACUACUUCCACUUGCUUUUCCCUCUUGCACGUAGACACCAAACUGCAUGAACUUGAAUAUAAUAUUAAGUUAGAAUUUUGGGAGAUCAUGUCCAACAGCAAACUUUUGUAUUAGUAGUGAUAUACCUUCGGGUUCUACUGUCAGAGGGUUUCCUUCACAUGCUUUGAUGUGAGAAAUUUUAUUAAAGAAUAGAUUUGCUCUUAGUGAGGUUUACAUAUGUGGUAGAGUCAUUAAGUUCGUGGAAUGUGGUUUUAUCAUAUCAUUGUUAUUUUUGUUACUUCACGUGGAUCGA